RNAcentral lists this small RNA (458 nucleotides) under Rattus norvegicus (Norway rat). RNAcentral describes it as "uncharacterized LOC108350274". Lineage: Eukaryota; Metazoa; Chordata; Mammalia; Rodentia; Muridae. The record is from RNAcentral.
GUCAGUUUACUAGAUAGAGGUACAGUUAAGUUCCCCAAGUCCCCAUUGACCUAAGAGGUAUCAUUCCUAAAAAGAUUAGAGGCUGCUCAGAUUAUGAUACUGAGAACCCAAAGUACCAUGUAGACUCAUGAGGUUUGAUUCUGAUGUCUUCUGAGAUCAAGAAGGAAGAUCAUAUACGCCUAAUAGGCAAUCAUUUAUACCAAUAUUUUCUGGCGCCUGAAAACUUACUAUGAAGAAAUUAUGGAGAAGACUAGAUGUCACUCACAGAUCUCAGAUGUUUCCUGUAUAGUGUGUCAACCCAGAUUCCAUUGGCAAUUGCUUAGACAUGUGUGACAGCUGUGUGAAGAUGUUGUCCAACAAGGUGAUGAGUAGUUGUCAAACUGGUAGAAAGUGUGACAUCAUCUGUUCUGUAAGGGAUGGGCAUGCUGAUGUAGGUCCAUAUCAUUGCUUAUUUUAGU